UACAGAGACCUCAAGCGUUAUCCGGAAUCAUUGGGCGUAAAGCGUACCGAUAGGUGGUUAUGCAAGUCAGAUGUGAAAUCUCCGAGCUCAACUCGGAAUCUGUCAUUUGAAACUGCACAACUAGAGGGGCAAAGAGGAAGCUGGAACGAACGGUGUAGUAGUGAAAUGCGUUGAUAUCGUUCGGAACACCAAUAGCGAAGGCAGGCUUCUGGGUGCCACCUGACACUGCUAGGACGAAAGCGUGGGGAGCGAAUGGG
RNAcentral lists this ribosomal RNA (257 nucleotides) under uncultured bacterium. RNAcentral describes it as "partial 16S ribosomal RNA". It matches the Rfam family "Bacterial small subunit ribosomal RNA", at positions 524 to 776 of the family's 1533-position model. The record is from RNAcentral.